Molecule: ribosomal RNA, 512 nt
Filed under: uncultured bacterium
Lineage: Bacteria
Description: bacterial SSU rRNA
Rfam family: Bacterial small subunit ribosomal RNA
Source: RNAcentral
GAUCCUGGCUCAGAUUGAACGCUGGCGGCAGGCCUAACACAUGCAAGUCGAACGGUAACAGGAAGAAGCUUGCUUCUUUGCUGACGGGUGGCGGACGGGUGAGUAAUGUCUGGGAAACUGCCUGAUGGAGGGGGAUAACUACUGGAAACGGUAGCUAAUACCGCAUAACGUCGCAAGACCAAAGAGGGGGACCUUCGGGCCUCUUGCCAUCGGAUGUGCCCAGAUGGGAUUAGCUUGUUGGUGGGGUAACGGCUCACCAAGGCGACGAUCCCUAGCUGGUCUGAGAGGAUGACCAGCCACACUGGAACUGAGACACGGUCCAGACUCCUACGGGAGGCAGCAGUGGGAAUAUUGCACAAUGGGCGCAAGCCUGAUGCAGCCAUGCCGCGUGUAUGAAGAAGGCCUUCGGGUUGUAAAGUACUUUCAGCGGGAGGAAGGGAGUAAAGUUAAUACCUUUGCUCAUUGACGUUACCCGCAGAAGAAGCACCGGCUAACUCCGUGCCAGCCGCAGC